This 497-nucleotide ribosomal RNA is filed under the name uncultured bacterium. RNAcentral's name for it is "partial 16S ribosomal RNA". It matches the Rfam family "Bacterial small subunit ribosomal RNA", at positions 28 to 507 of the family's 1533-position model. The record is from RNAcentral.
GAUGAACGCUGGCGGCGUGCCUAAUACAUGCAAGUCGAGCGAACAGACGAGGAGCUUGCUCCUCUGAUGUUAGCGGCGGACGGGUGAGUAACACGUGGAUAACCUACCUAUAAGACUGGGAUAACUUCGGGAAACCGGAGCUAAUACCGGAUAACAUAUUGAACCGCAUGGUUCAAUAGUGAAAGACGGUCUUGCUGUCACUUAUAGAUGGAUCCGCGCCGCAUUAGCUAGUUGGUAAGGUAACGGCUUACCAAGGCAACGAUGCGUAGCCGACCUGAGAGGGUGAUCGGCCACACUGGAACUGAGACACGGUCCAGACUCCUACGGGAGGCAGCAGUAGGGAAUCUUCCGCAAUGGGCGAAAGCCUGACGGAGCAACGCCGCGUGAGUGAAGAAGGUCUUCGGAUCGUAAAACUCUGUUAUUAGGGAAGAACAAAUGUGUAAGUAACUAUGCACGUCUUGACGGUACCUAAUCAGAAAGCCACGGCUAACUACGUG